CGUGCGGACUGCUGGGGCGCAAGCCCCGACCGGCCUCGGGACGGAGCGCAGGAUCCCGGCCGCCCGCGGCCCCCCCUCAGGCGCCGCCUACCGCAGCCCGGACAGCGCCCUCGCGGGUCGGCCUCGAUGGCCAGGAGCUGACGGAGUCGCCCCCUGGGCCGGCCGGCCGCAGACUCCCGUCAGCGGCGCUGCGGCCCCCGCCGACGUCCCCUUCCCACUUGUUCAGGGGCGUCCAGACCCUCUGAAUGGGGACGCCGACCCCGUGUCCAACGGCAGCCCAGGUGAUGUGCAACCUCAGGUGCAGCAGCCUGCCACCGUCGAUGCCCAUGGGUAGUCUCCCAGCUCCUCGCAGCCCGCCGAGCAUGUGCAGGGAGCCGGCCGCACACUGCUGACUGGAGACCGCUUGACACGCCCCCAUUUCUCUCGCCAGAGCGAGGCUCCGCGUGCCCACUUGCUGGCAGAGACAGGACAACCCUCAGGCCGCAGGUUGUUGGGGACUCUGGCCCCUGGGAACCUCAUCGAGCGCGGGCCUCGGCAGAGGGAGCUGCAGGGGGCAGCGCCUGCCUGGACCCUUGGCACUUCGUACGCAGUUCAGCACAGCCUCAAGGGCUAGGACCUGAAGGAGCCAACUCUGGUCCUGAUGACUUUUUGGUUCCUGGGAGCCCUGGCUACCUUUUGUUCGAAUUAGUUCGAGAGACUCCCUUGUAUCCGUCCGAAAUACUCGUUUUUCGUUAGCUAGUUUUGGUUCAGUAAAUAACACUGUCUUUAAGAAGACGAAUAAAGAGUUUCAGAACAUAGAUAUCUAAAUUAAUUUGCACUUCGAUUUUCUUUUGGUGAAAAAGAGAUUUAGUCUUGGAUUGUCACGUUAACAAGGAAGGCUUUUCACCAAAAGGAUCAGACUUCUGGAAAGAACUACAGGCUUAUGUGAUGGAGGAAAAGCAAGGAGAACUUGGAUGACAGCGUUUUGAAAGUUACUGGUACUACAUAUCAAGUAGCCCACGUCAACAUUUAUAAGAAUGCCAUAGCUUACACGUAAACUCAGUGGAAUCAAGUUGCUUUUCUUCAAUAUUACAGAACAAGAUCCUGGGAGACCUAAACAUAAAAGUUGGAGGAAAAAAUGAAGAGAAAUAUUUUGGCUGCAUAAUUCUCCUCCCAUCCCUACCCAUGCCAAGUCUUUUCCUUUGAGCUCUGAACCAUUAACUCAUUAACUCUUAGUGCACUCAGAGGCGUUACUAAGCUAAAGGGGAUUUUCCUCACCAGGGAAGAAAAAGGAACAAAGCUAUUUAUCAUUUUCUGGAGAAGAGAGAAAGGAAAACUAUCCAAAUAUAUUUUCUCUGAUUAAAAACAGCUAGCACCAUGAUCCUCCUAAUUACUAUCUCCCUUCUCCAAACUUCCUUAUCUAUGACUCUUAACUCUCUCAUCCAAUUAUUCAGCAAAUAUUUAAGUAGUUCAUACUAUGCAGCAGGCGUUUUUCUAAGCAUAGGAUUUAAAAAAUUGAAAUUCUAUAAUCUCAAACCUCAAAGUGAUGGGCAAACAGAUGCCAAACAACAACUAUAUACUACAUAAAAAGUGACUCAAUAGAGGAAUGCACACAGUGCAACGGAGAUCUGAAAAAACAUUAACUCUGGGAUUACAGAAAGGCUUCAGAGAAGGAGGAAUUGACUUUGACUUGAGAUUUGACGUGAAGAGUAACUAGGAGGAAUUCAUCAGGCAAGCUGGCCAAGAACUCUGGAGAUUGACCAAAGGAUUACAAUAAUACUAGGAGCAUUUAUUUAAGAAAAAUAGAUGAUUUGGGACAGAUGUCUACAAUAUGGCUAAUUAAGACAUUCCUCACUGUAACUCCCUGCUCAACAACAACAUAUGGGCAUCCAUCCACAGAAAAAUGUACCUUUGCGAGAGCUAUGGGAUCCAGCACUAUGUGUCAAGGGACCUGAGAGGAGUCUUACCCACCCAAGUGUCAAGUAAUAGGCAUACAGACCUCAGUCUUGGUUGUGGACCCUGCACUGACCCAUGAACUGGCUCCAGCUACUUUCAGUGCCCUCUCUCUUUGUCCUUUCCUGGAGAAUACUGUCUUAGACAAUCACUCAUAGACAAGUGAGCCUUUGUGGAAGUCUAGGAGCUCAGCGGAGAACUUCCAACACAUAGUUGGAACAAAAAAAAUACAAGUUUGAAUGCACUAGAGAGGGUAAGAGGAAUAAUUUGACUUUACUCACAUCACCCCUCACCCAAGGUGGCACAGCUCCAAGCCAGGAGAGACCUUCUUGGCCCAAGAUUUCUCCCAAAGGGGAAAGUAAGAGCAUGUAAGUGAGCACUCAACUUCUCCAGCUGGGUGGAAUGCUGCCACAAAGGCCCAUUUCUCUCUCACCCCAUCCAGAGUACUGAGUUGUGAGCUACACUAGUUGGGAAUGUGAAGUGGCUGGGAGAGUGGCAAGUAGGACCCUCAUAUGGCAUUAAAGGGCUGCAGAUCCUAGUAACUGCAUUGUGGACUUCAUCAAGAAGCUGCCCAUGAGAUACUGGAGAUACCUCAUCUGUGGAACCCCCACCUGGCUGAUGGGCACCCCCAGGGCUCUGUGCACCUCACCCACAUGCCCUGUGGCCAACUCCCUGUGCAGGCUCCUGAUGGUGGCAAGAAUGAACUUUGGCAGAGGACAAGUGAGCAUGUACAGAAAACCGACCUGAGUCUUCAGGCAAGAAAGAAACCAUAAACUUGAGCUUUUUGAGCUUUAGCACCACCCUUAGGAAACCUCAAUCAGGUUAAUGGCUGACUUUUCAUCAGAAACCAUGGACACUAGAAAGCAAUGGAAUGACAUUUUCAAAGUGCUGAAAAAGACAACCAAGAAUUCUAUAUCUUACAAAAGCAGCUUUCAAGAACAAAGGAGAAAUUAAUUUAUUCUCAGAUACUAAAAGACUUUAUCAUUAGCAGACCUACACUACAAGAAUUAUUAAAGGGAGUCCUUUAGGCUGAAAAAGACACUAGAUAGUAAUUUGUUUCAACACAAAGAAAUAAAAGCACUGGUAAAGAUAACUACAUAAAUUAAUAAAAGUGACAGUAUACAUAUCUUUUUGUAAAUCUUUUUAUAGCUAAUAUUAAAGACAAAUGUGUAAAUCUAUAAUUAUAAAACUAUAUUGAUGAGAUUAUAAUGUAUAAAGAUGUGAUUUAUAGGAUAAUAGUAGCACAAAGUUGGGGGAAAUGGAGCUGUAUUGGAGCAAAGCUUCUGUGUAAU
Molecule: long non-coding RNA, 3224 nt
Filed under: Equus caballus (horse)
Lineage: Eukaryota; Metazoa; Chordata; Mammalia; Perissodactyla; Equidae
Description: lncRNA (ENSECAG00000050197.1)
Source: RNAcentral